Molecule: ribosomal RNA, 253 nt
Filed under: uncultured bacterium
Lineage: Bacteria
Description: partial 16S ribosomal RNA
Rfam family: Bacterial small subunit ribosomal RNA
Source: RNAcentral
CACGUAGGGGACGAGCGUUGUCCGGAUUCAUUGGGCGUAAAGCGCGCGUAGGCGGCUCGGAAAGUCGGUCGUGAAAUGCCGGGGCUCAACCCCGGGACUGCGUCCGAUACUUCCGGGCUGGAGGUAGGUAGGGGAGAUCGGAAUUCCUGGUGUAGCGGUGAAAUGCGCAGAUAUCAGGAGGAACACCGGUGGCGAAGGCGGAUCUCUGGGCCUUACCUGACGCUGAGGCGCGAAAGCGUGGGGAGCGAACAGG